UAAAAAAUACAGAAAAAGAGAUGAACAUUAUUGACAGUGCUGCAGCUGAAACUCAAAACUACUGAGAAAGUACGCCAGAGCUCAGGGAACGGUAUGAGUACCAUACAGACAAGCAGCUGGAAUAUUCAUGCCUGUUCUCCUUUUAUGGGAUCCAGAAGGAAGAUUGGAAAUGUCUACUCUCCUCUUCUUAUUCAUGAUUUUUUAAAAUCGACAAUUCGCUACAUGAUCUAUAAUCCCCCUUAGACAUUUUAUUUCACCUAAACGUUGUGCUUCGUUAAAUUCUAUAUGUCUAUGUGUGAGAGAGAGGGGGAUCAUAUAGUUAGGAAUCGGACUACUAAUGUAAUAGGCUCUGUUUGGGGAUAUACAUUAUUAAUAACAACUCUCAAUAUGUGUUUGAUUUUUUUUCAGUUGCCCGUAUACAAUACGCCACAUCUGGCCUCAUAUGCGUAUUACUGUAGAUUUCAAGCGAGGUAAGGUGAAUCUAAAUCGAAACUGAAAUUUGGAAAACAAAUAUGUCGCACUUCUCUUUCUCGAAGCUGAAAAAUCGGUGAAAUUGGCGUGAAAAAAAUGAGUUCCAAGGAGAAUCCUCCAAAGAAAAACGGAUGCGACAAAGGCAUCGUGAAGAGGUUUAAAAUGAGACUUGACCUCAUAUUUGACUACAAUGGCUUAGUUAAUCAAGGAGCAACCUGUUAUUUGAACAGUGUGCUGCAGGUCCUCUUCAUGACUAAGGACUUCAGAGAGGCUGUGGAAAGUCACUGUGGUCAAGAUCAGAAGACUGUUGAUUUUCACCUGAAAAGCCUUUUCGAGGCGUUAAAGGCAAGUGAAACUCACACAAAGGACAUCUUAUCCAUACUUGGCAUUGGAAAUGUUUACGAGCAACGGGAUGCUGCUGAAUAUUUUGAGAAUAUUUUAAGCAUGGUCAAUCCUUAUGUGUCUCAGAUCUUCAAAGGACAUUUGAGACACACGAUGAGAUGUUCAGAAGGUCAUGUGACCAGUGUUGAAACUGGUCCAUUCUGGACUCUACCACUCUCAAUAGAAAAUCAAUCAGACUCAAACAAAACCUACAAUGUGAGGGAUGGUUUUGAGGAGUUUUUCAAGUCUUCAACUGUCAGUGAGAUGUAUUGCGACCAAUGCAAUAAGAAAACCCGAUCCACCGUUACAUGUAAAAUGGAACAUCACCCAGAGAUUCUGACUCUGCUCCUCAAGAGGUUUGAGUUUGACUACCACAGUAUGUCAUAUACCAAAAAUGACUGCUGUGUUGAAGUUCCUCACACGUUACGGACAAAGACCUUUUCUCUGAACAGAACUGUGACUAUGAACUCUAUGCAGUGGUGGACCAUGUGGGAAGUCUAAGAGGUGGACAUUACACUGCUAGAAUCAAGUCCUAUGAUGAUCACAACUGGUAUGUGUUCGAUGACAGCUACGUCAGACAGCCCAAUCCACAAUCAAUCAGUCAUAUGAAUAAUGAAAGAUCCCAGAGUGUGUAUCUGCUUAUGUACAAGAAAUCACGUGCUCCGGAUCAACCAGGAGAAGAGGAAAUUAAGAAAAGAGGAGGAAUUAAAGUGUAUGGAAGAGGAAUGGAAGAAAAUAGAAGAAUUGAGGAGAAUAAAAGAGGAAUACAAUUAAAGCGGAAUUGAAGAAAAUAAUCAAUGUAGAAUCACAGAGUAUAGCAUUGCAAUUGGAGAGAAUAUAUGUGUAAUUCAAGGCAUGGGUAGACAACAAUGGAAGAGGCAUUGAUGACAUUCCUCAACCAUUCAUGACAAUAAGAGAGACAGUGAAGAUGAUAGAAGAGGAAGAGAAGAGAAUAUACGGAGUUGACGAGUAUAGAAGAGACAUUGAAAUUAAUACAAAAGAAAUUGAAAUGUAUAGAAGAGGAUUUGAAAAGCAUAGAAGAGGAAUUGAAAAGCAUAGAAAAGGAAUCGGAGAUUAUAGAAGAGAAAGUGAAUGGUAUGGAACAGGAAUGAAAUAUAAUAGAAGAGGAAUGGAAGAGUGUAGAAGAGGAAUUGAACAUAUGACGGAGUCUGCUACGUCCCAUCGGGGACGCUAUAAGUCACUUAAAGCUAACUGCCAGUUGAAGUCUCUGGGAAAGUGAUAUCAACAAUGGCAACUAACAGCUUCACUAGCCAGCUAUUCUGCUUAAAGCCUUCAGCAAUAACACAGGUACGCUUGGAACAAAUGAUAUUCUGUUUUAGGUCCCGCUUUAUUUGAAGUGCAUCUUCAUAAAGCAGUCAUGUACUGUAGAAUUUAAAAGUACUAGAUAAAUGGGCCACAAAUCCUCUAUAACUAUAUUUCACGCUCUAGAAAAGAGUAACGAACGUGAACAAAUCAAUGAAUGGUUAUGUCAUACAGCUAUGCCACAUUAUACAUCGUUAUAGAGCAUGAUAUAUGGUUAUAGAUCAUUUGUGAAGAAUCUAUGUAGUGCUUUAUGAAGCCUUCAUAGGAUGCACUUCAAAUAAAGUGGGCCCAGUACCCAGUUUUAUUCAGUGGCCUUGUUGAAAGUUUUUAGACAUAUAGAUACAGUUUUUAGUUUUAGGCUACAAACCCAUUCUGCCUAGUCUGUGUCAUUAGCCAUAUCGACUAAAGAGAACACGUUUGCAUUUUGUAUUUAUUAUAUCUCGUUAGUCAUACAAAUAAUGCCAACAACAGGCAACUUCAAAAGUCCUUUAUCACUUGAUACAUAAAAAAAUAAAAAAUGAGGCUUACCAUGUACAAUGUUUGUUCUGGGGUGUAUUCAUUAGUGCACACCCUAGCAAACCAUUAGCAAUGAUUGCCCACUCAAGGGGAUGUUGGGGGGUGGGGGUAUGUGUAUGAAAGAGAUGAAUGAAUACAGAAUGAAAACAUGUUCUCCUUAGUCGGUAUGGCUAACUAUAGCAGCUCAUAUAAGAUAGAAUUGUGCGUGUAUUAGUAAAGGCCUGCUUUAACUGUU
Molecule: RNA transcript, 2926 nt
Organism: Oncorhynchus gorbuscha (pink salmon)
Lineage: Eukaryota; Metazoa; Chordata; Actinopteri; Salmoniformes; Salmonidae
Gene name: ubiquitin carboxyl-terminal hydrolase 47-like
Exons: 13
Source: RefSeq, a predicted model, not a curated record